Molecule: RNA transcript, 9854 nt
Organism: Lagenorhynchus albirostris (white-beaked dolphin)
Lineage: Eukaryota; Metazoa; Chordata; Mammalia; Artiodactyla; Delphinidae
Gene: ASH2L
Gene name: ASH2 like, histone lysine methyltransferase complex subunit
Exons: 31
Source: RefSeq, a predicted model, not a curated record
GACGCAGACAGUAUUCUCGCGAGAAGUCUGGGAGGCGGCAGUGAUGGCGGCGGCGGGAACCGUACCCGGCCCGGGAGUGAAUGCAGGACCCGGCCCGGCAGUGGCUGCAAAUGCAACACCGGCAGAAGAAGGGGAAACGAAGCCGGUAGUAGCGGUAGCAGCCGCUCCGGCCGGGGAGGGGACGUCUGCUGCUCCAGCCGCGGAGCCUGGCUCUGGAGAGGCCGAAAGCGGGGACGCAAACUCAGUUGAUGUAAGUGGUGGCUUGGAGACAGAAUCCUCUAAUGGAAAGGAUACACUAGAAGGUGCUGGGGAUACUUCAGAGGUGAUGGAUACUCAGGCGGGCUCCGUGGAUGAAGAGAAUGGUCGCCAGUUGGGAGAGGUGGAGCUGCAGUGUGGAAUAUGUACCAAAUGGUUCACAGCAGACACCUUUGGCAUAGAUACCUCAUCCUGUCUACCUUUCAUGACCAACUACAGUUUCCACUGCAAUGUAUGCCAUCAUAGUGGGAAUACCUACUUCCUCCGGAAGCAAGCAAACUUGAAAGAAAUGUGCCUUAGUGCUUUGGCCAACCUAACCUGGCAGUCCCGAACACAGGAUGAACAUCCGAAAACCAUGUUCUCCAAAGAUAAGGAUAUCAUACCAUUUAUUGAUAAAUAUUGGGAGUGCAUGACGACCAGACAGAGACCUGGGAAAAUGACCUGGCCAAAUAACAUUGUUAAAACGAUGAGUAAAGAAAGAGAUGUAUUCUUAGUAAAGGAACACCCCGAUCCUGGGAGUAAGGACCCAGAAGAAGAUUACCCCAAAUUUGGCCUUCUGGAUCAGGAUCUUAGUAACAUUGGUCCUGCUUAUGACAACCAAAAACAAAGCAGUGCCGUGUCUACCAGUGGGAAUCUAAAUGGUGGAGCCUCUUUUGGAGGGGGAAUUGCAGCGGGAAGCAGUGGAAAAGGAAGAGGAGCUAAGCGCAAACAGCAGGAUGGCGGGGCCACGGGGACCACCAAGAAGGCCCGGAGUGACCCUUUGUUUUCUGCUCAGCGCCUUCCCCCUCAUGGCUACCCCUUGGAACACCCAUUUAACAAAGAUGGCUAUCGGUAUAUUCUAGCUGAGCCCGAUCCCCACGCCCCUGACCCUGAGAAGCUUGAACUCGACUGCUGGGCAGGAAAACCGAUUCCUGGAGACCUCUACAGAGCCUGCUUGUAUGAACGGGUUUUGUUAGCCCUACAUGAUCGAGCUCCCCAAUUAAAGAUCUCCGAUGACCGGCUGACUGUGGUUGGAGAGAAGGGCUACUCUAUGGUUCGGGCUUCUCAUGGGGUUCGGAAAGGUGCCUGGUACUUUGAAAUCACGGUGGAUGAGAUGCCGCCAGACACCGCUGCCAGACUGGGCUGGUCCCAGCCGUUAGGUAACCUUCAAGCUCCCUUAGGUUAUGAUAAAUUUAGCUAUUCUUGGCGGAGCAAAAAGGGGACCAAAUUCCACCAGUCCAUUGGCAAACACUACUCUUCUGGCUAUGGACAGGGAGAUGUCCUGGGAUUUUAUAUCAGUCUUCCUGAAGACACAGAGACAGCCAAGUCACUGCCCGAUACCUAUAAAGAUAAGGCUUUGAUAAAGUUCAAGAGUUAUUUGUAUUUUGAAGAAAAAGACUUUGUGGAUAAAGCAGAGAAGAGCCUAAAGCAGACUCCCCAUAGCGAGAUAAUUUUUUAUAAAAAUGGUGUCAAUCAAGGUGUGGCUUACAAAGAUAUUUUUGAGGGGGUUUACUUUCCGGCCAUCUCGCUGUACAAGAGCUGCACGGUCUCCAUUAACUUUGGACCAUGCUUCAAGUAUCCUCCAAAGGAUCUCAUGUACCGCCCUAUGAGUGACAUGGGCUGGGGCGCCGUGGUGGAACACACUCUGGCUGACGUCUUGUAUCACGUGGAAACAGAAGUGGAUGGGAGGCGGAGUCCCCCGUGGGAACCCUGACCAAGUCCCUUUUUCUUUGCAGACACGGACUUCCUGGGGAAUAAUAUGAGCGGGUUUUGUUUUUUAACUGUGACAAAUGUUUUCCUGAAGAUACUGCAGAACGUGGCCUCUGCUGUAGCAAAUUAGAGGCCGGGUGGGUCUGAGAGAGACUCCUUGCCCUUCAGCACUGUCCCUUCUAUCACGGCUUUUACUUCGUGUGCCAUUCCCAACAGCUGCCGACCCUGGGAUCCCAUAAGCGCCCUGUGAACUGGGCCUGUGCCAUGUACCCCACCAGCUAGACUUGCUGCUUACUGUGUUUUCUAAGGAAUGGGUAACCUUGCCCAAGUAGCUAACAUGUUUAAAGACAUGUCCUUCUGCGGGCAUUGCCUCCAUCCCACCUGGUUCCCAAGGAAGUGGUGGGCCUGUUUCUGAGAACAGCUGAAAUCCAUGGCUGUACAUUCCAAAUCAGUCUAACAGCUCUUCCCUUUCACCGUGGGUGUGUUUUUGUUAUUAAUUUUGAGGUGUACCUUCGAACACCGGGAUCUAUAGUAGAACUAUACUUGUGAAGGGAACUUGCUUGCAGCUUUAACAAUUAGAAACUCUUCCCAAAUAAAACUUGUCUUCGAGUGUGUGUGGCACUUUGCUUCCCUUUCAGGUUGGGGUCCAUGUGGCGACAGUGUCGGAACAAUAAGGCACUCUGAGGAAGGGGAGCCAGCCUUGGAGGAGAGACAGGUUUCUAUCUCCACCCUCCCCCGUUGCUUCGUUCCCUCCAGCCAAUUUGACCACCCCCUCUUAUCCUGUGGAACCCCUCUCAAGAAGGUGAACAGGGGACACUUCCCUGGGGGUCCAAUGGCUAAGGCUCCGUGCUUCCAAUGUAGGAGGCCCAGAUUCAAUCCCUAGUCAGGGAACUAGAUCCUACAUGCCGCAACUAAAGAUCCCGUGUGCCACAGCUGAGACCUGGCACAGCCAAAUAAAUAUUUUAAAAUAAAUUUAUUUAUUUAUUUAUUUUUGGCUGCGUUGGGUCUUCGUUGCUGCACGUGGACUUCCUCUAGUUGCAGCGAGCGGGGGCUACUCUUCGUUGCAGUGUGUGGGCUUCUCGUUGCGGUGGCUUCUCUUGUUUCGGAGCAUAGGCUCUAAGUGCGCGGGCUCUAGACCACAGGCUCAGUAGUGCCGCACGGGCUUAGUUGCUCCGAGGCAUGUGGGAUCUUCCUGGACCAGGGCUCGAACCCGUGUCCCCUGCAUUGGCUGGCGGAUUCUUAACCAUUGCGCCACCAGGGAAGUCCUAAAUAAAUACUUUUUUAAAAAAAAGGUGAACAGGAACUUAAAAGGGUAAAUGGUCUCCCUCCAGCUCUUCCCUUUGAACUUGUGUGUUGAUCUGUGCAGGUUAUGUUCCUGCCUUGCUUAUCUUCCUUUGUAAUACCUGAUGAUUAAAGGACAGUUUUCAGAAGACUAAAAACUGGAAUGUAAGAAUGAGCCUUCCCCGGGGGUCCCUAAGUGCUUCCCUGUCCUCCUUUUAAUCAGUGACAGUGCAGUCCUCCCAGGAUUGCUCCAGACUUCCCUGUGUGUAACUUCCUACCUAGGUUAAUAGAGUGGUUCACCAAGAGUCCGGUAAUAUGUUGCCAAGGAUCCCUAUAUAUUAUGCCUGUUUAAUUUCCCAAAUUUCAAGUGACUGUUGGUAUCUUAACACAGAAGCUUUGACUAAUGUAUUUGUCUCCUAAUGAAUCACCCAGACCCAGGGUCUUUGUUUCGGUCAUUCCACCUCUCUUAACAGGAAACCCAGCAGAAUCAGGCUGAGGUCUAUUCAUUCGUGGUCUUAUGGAGCAGACUUGGUUAUAAAGCUUCUGGAUCAUCAGGGUUUGAAGAACUCUAAGUAAACGAGGAUGGUGUUAUCUAGAGGAAGCUGGAGAUGAAUUCUUUGUAGCAUGAAUUACCACACAUGACCUGCCAGGCCACAGAGAACCAGAGUCACUACUCAGCCAGGUGGGGGGCCGAGGCACACCGCAGCUCACAGCCCCCUCCCGACUGCUGUAGCCAUCCUUCUGCCUGGGCCUUCCCACCUUGAUCUCCUUGACAUUCGGGUUCCACUCGCCCAUGGCCUCCAUGUGCUCCACGAGCUCUUCGUAAAGCCUCUCCACGGGCUGGUCCACUACCACCUCCAGCCGGAACACCUUGCCCACGUCUGGGAUCACUUUACUCAACACUUCGUCCCCAUUCGCCUAUCGGCAGGGAAGAGAGGAGCCCCAAGGGAAAGCCCUCCUGGUCACUGAGGAUGCCCAGGGCCCUCUGCAUGGCCUCCUCUCCCUGCUGGAUAUAGGCCAGUUCUUGGUUGCUGUAGAGAGUGUCUUCCAGCUGAGAACCUGGACACAAAGCCACGGAGAGACUGAGCUUCCUAGCCUCCCACGAGCUUUCACCCCUUUCAUCUCUGAAGAGCCCAGACCAAAGCCAUAUGGUCCAGCCUGCAGGUUAAGUUAGACACAGGGGACAGGGAGGGGGGUCUAGCCAUGAACAAUGCCAUUCCCAUCAAAGUGAGUGAGGACACCUGGGGGCUGCGGGGGAAGGGACCAGAGCUACAUGCACAUCGUUUGCCCGCCCCCCCCCGGAGCCCCCCGCCGCUGGUAGAAGCCCCAGAAGCCUCAGCACUUACUGAGCAGAGAACCGCGACGCCGAACCUGGUUAAUCCAGGCAGCUGGGGUCGGGCCCCCCGGGGCCCUGCGGUUCAGCUCCUGGCCGAUGGCCAGCACAGCCUGGUGCCUCAGCCCUGCAGGGAAGGGAGGGAAACUGUCGCUUAGGAGCAGAAAAGCCCCUCAGAGAAUGUUCCACCCCUUCAUCUCAUCACAGAGGAGGAAGCUGGUCUGGGGCAGAAAGUGACUUGAUGAGGAAUACCUCCAGGGCCAGAAACCUGCCUGCCUUCUGGGCUGGCCGGGCCUGGAGGCAGGGCCACACUCAAGCUUGCUGAAGUUUCCUUCUUGAAAGGGAGAGAAGCUUUGAACAACCUAUCCUGCUACAGAAGGGGAAUUACAGACACCCGUCCCCGAGGUCUGUGUGGCCUCUGCGCUUGCCAACACAGCUUCCUGGAGUCCAGGCUGAUUCCUGCCUCUGCCACCAUGGCUCGGGCUUCCCUGGCACCCUUGGUACCUAUCCUAGAGACAGGCAGAGUCAGGAAGAAGCCAAGACAGCUCGGAGCCCUGGAGGGGAGGCCGGGGAUGACAGAGUCUGCAAGGCACCCAGGAACCUUCGUAUCCAGCUGCGUUCUUCAGCGCAGGGGACACUGAGUCGCUGACCUACAGGACACCCUGAAAGGACUUCAGGAAGGUGAUCAGGAUGCGGCACACUGUGCUCUGGGGAGACAGGCAAGUGAGCCCUUAGACAGUUACCAAUCUUACAAUGCUUUAGAAAGUUCUUAUGAAUCUGGAUUCUUACAUCUUCUCAUACUUAGAAAAGCACUAAAGUCAUGAACGGAGAAACCCGUUGCUUGUGACCAGGAGCAACCUUCUACCAAAAUGUGUGCUUGAGUGCAGUCGACAGUUUUGCUGACCGUGAAGGAGCACAGAGCUAACUUCUCUCCUCUGUCUGAACACUAUGAGGAUUCAGAACCUUGGUAGCAGCAAGGGCCUUUUAUUCCCAUCCACCUCCUCAGCGAGUCCAGACGAAUUUGGGGGACACGGGUUUGAGCCCUGGUCCGGGAAGAUCCCACAUGCCGCAGAGCAACUAAGCCCGUCUGCCACAACUACUGAGCCUGUGUGUCACAACUACUGAAGCCCACAUGCCUAGAGCCCGUUCUCCGCAACAAGAGAAGCCACCGCAAUGAGAAGCCUGCGCACCACAACGAAGAGUAGCCCCCGCUCGCCGCAAUGAGAGAAAGCCGGUGCACAGCAACGAAGACCCAACGCAGCCAAAAGUUGACCUUGAGGUUGCUUCUGAGCUGGAUUCACCUGGCAAGAAGGUCGGGGGUCGAGAGAAUCACAUUGAAUUUGGCCCUGGGCCUGGGCCUGCCCCCCAGAAAGGAUGGAACGGACAGGACCUGCCUGGAGCCAGGCCGAGUGCCUAGUGUCCAGAGGGGACAGGUGAGGCCCACACGCCCCCUUCAGGCCGUGCUGGCGCAGUGGGAUGCGGCCAGUGACCCGGAGAAACGCCUGUCCCGGUCUCCGCUCAGAGCAGUGGCUGCCUGGCGGCCUGGCCCGCCCUCCAGGGCCCCCGCGCCCGCCGCCCGCAUGAGCUGUGAGGCCUUAACCACCCAGCCUUCUGAAACUGGCUUGUCCCUUACUGUGGGUCCCCCUAGGGGGGCUGUCUCGGUCCUGAUUUGUGUCAUGGCGUGCGCAUGUUUGCUGUCUCCUCUCUGGGGCUGGUUCCCCUGCCCUCCCAGUGCUCAGCUCCCCGCGGCGGCGGCUCAGGGCAGGUUCCUGCUCCUUCUCUACAGAGAGCAGCUGGGGAGCUGACUCUGACUGAGGAACGCUGCCUGUGGGCUUUGUUUCCAGCCCCCUCAGAGUCACAGGGAAGCUGGCACCAGAGGGAGAGCCUUGGCCUCUUGUUCGUCUCCAGCCCGAGCCAGCGGUGUGGAAAGAGGGCGCGGAGGGAAGUCAAGGCUGGAGAGAGAGGCAGAGGUCAGAGCCAGCUGGGUGGGCAUGGGAAGAUUCCUCCGCAGGUUCCCGGGAAGCAGAGGCCAGGAGUUGAGGAGGGGACCUGGAGCUGGUGUGGCCCGGCCCCGAGGAGAACUUCCUCAUCCAGGGAUUGAACCCACGUCCCCUGCACUGGAAGCACGGAGUCUUAACCACUGGACCGCCAGGGAAGCCCUGUUAUCAUAUUUGUACAGAGGAGACUAAGUACAAGGAGCUGAGAGGUGCCGCUGGACCAAGUUCGGAGAGCUCUGAAGUGAAGAAACCGGGACGCACAGCCUGUGCUCUUCACCUUUUUUUUUUUUUAUUGAAGUACAGUUGAUUUACAGUGUUGUGUUAGUUGCUGCUGUACAGCAAAGUGACUCAGUUAUACAUACAUAUAUAUAUAUAUCCUUUUUCAUAUUCUUUUCCAUUAUGUUUAUCACAGGAUAUUGAGUAUAGUUCCCUGUGCUCUACAGUAGGACCUUGUUGUUUAUCCAUUCUCUGUAUAAUAGUUUGCAUCUGCUAAUCCCAAACUCCCACUCCAUCCCUCUCCCACCCGCCUCCCCCUUGGCAACCACAAGUCUGUCCUCUAUGUCUGUGAGUUUGUUUCUGUUGCGUAGAUAAGUUCAUUUGUGUCAUAUUCUAGAUUCCACAUAUAAGUGAUAUAUGGUAUUUAUCUUUGUCUGGCUUACUUCACUUAGUAUGAUAAUCUUUAGGUCCAUCCAUGUAGCUGCAGAUGGCAUUAUUUCAUUCUUUUUUACGCCUGUGUGCUCUUCACGUUUUAAAAUCUCCUGUUUCUCUCUGAAAAGCAGGGCCCAUAUUUGCCUCUCAUGCCUGACAAAUCUCAGGGUGAUGCUCAGCAUGCCCAGCUAUCCCCUUACACUUGUUCCCUUGUCCUCGUCUGCCUGUUUCCAGCAGGAGCCCUGGCAGAGCUGGAGGAGUAGACAGCUAGGGGAGUGUGAACCAGGGUGGACAGCCCCAGAGCUUUGGGACAGACGUUGGCGCACCAAUCAUCUCCAGACUCUUCAUGCCUGGGGGGCUGUGGUCUCCAGUGAGGGCAGUAAGAGAACAUCUCCACGUUCAGUGUAAGGAUCUCUGCUAAUCACUCCACUCCGGGAUGCUCGUUAUCUGGGACAAGUAUGUCCUAAGCAGAGAGAACAGGAAAUUCCGGCCUCGUCCAGAGCCUGCUGCAUCUGCUCUGCCUGCUGGCCUGCACCGUCUGCCGUCUGCACCUCGCUCUGCCUGACCUGCCACCCAUACUCCUGUGAGCAAAACUGAGGCCACUCUCCAGCCAUCACAUCUGUGUCAUACCCCUGGGGCUCAUGCUGAUGUGGCAUCCCUGAGAAGCCCUGCACAAUGGCAGCGUGAGGGCAUCUGGUUCUGCUAAGUAUCCAGGGCCUGUUGGGAGUUUAUCCGAGCAGGGUGGGAGAGCAGAUACUGUGGCUUAAAUUCAGCCGACAACAUGUGACGUAAGGUCAAGGGCCAAGGAAAGGGGAAAAGAACAGCUGGGAGAGAGAGAGGCUGCUGUACCCAGUUAUAUCAGAAUAAAGAUCGCCAGGAAAGGGGCUGCAGUAGAUCUUCCUUGUUUGUUUGUUUUCCUUGAAAGUGGUCUCAUGGGAACCUCUACUGGAAGAAACUAUUAAAGACAAAACAAAGGUAUAGAACUGAGAUUGAUUCUGAAGCCUGAUUAACAGUAGAGGAGUACUCGCAGUGGUCCAGGAAAAAAGCACGAUUUCAGUACCUGCAAAAAGCCUGGACUGGGCAAAGCUGAGGGCAGGCUCUGAGCAGCAGGGAGACAGAACAGGAGGGAAGCAGGGAGUCUCAUUCCAUGCUUCAGCUCUCUUUGCUGCUGCCUGUGUGACAAAGGUCUAAAGGCAAUAUGUUAUUACACGUAACAACUGAAGCCCAGCUAUGGCUUGGAAAUUCCUGAACUACUGUGGAAAUUCUCUCCUUUGAAUCAUGACUCUUUUGAUUGCAUUUGGAAUUCUGUUUGAAGGAGGUUGAAAAGACGAGUACAGUGAAUCCGAAUCUCUUGAAGGUGCCGGAUAUUCUGAAACAGUGGUGCUCAGAAAAAAGCAGAAUGCUUACAGAAUGCUGUAAUUCUGCUGACUCUCAAAGAACAUCUUCUUGUAGUGAAAGUUAGCCACCUCUUCCACAAGUCUCCCCUUUGUGGGGAAGUUAAUAACAAAUUCCGGCUAUUCAACAGUAAGGUUAGAGAUGAAACACACUAGAUAAAUCAUUAAGUGCGACGGUUCUUCACAAAUUAGCUACCUUGAAACCAACCCAAUGAUGAAUAGCUCAGAAGUCUGCAUUUGGCGCAGUUUUAAAAACACCUGAGCUCAUAAAAUGUGGUAUGUUUAAUACUAUAAAAUAACUCAAACAUAGGAAUUGGCUAUAAAUAUCUUCCCUGCAAAGAAUGUCUUUGCUCAACAGACUAUAAAAUAAGUAUCUGGAAUAGUUUUACAGUUAAAACUGAGAAUCAGGGAGGAAAAGUGACUUGCUUGAGCCCAAGGUGCUAGAGAGAACAGAGUCCAGGUUUCGGAAAGUACAGCCUCUUACGCUUCCUGUGUGAUCAACAUCAUUCCAGAAAAGGGGCAUCACUUGGCUUGGCUGAGAAUAACCUAGAUAUAUCAGUCACUGCAACACGAUUUUAUCUGUGCUUUUUGAUCACAGCAUAGGCGGCUCAAGACUCAAUCCAAAGGACUAGAAAACCUAACGAAAUUAACAAUACUUAGAGAAGUCGUUAUGUGGAUCUCAAGGGAACGCAGCUGGGAUAGCUGUUGGUGAAGCAAACAGCUGCUUCUCAAACAAACACCAGCUUCUCUUAUAAUCAGUAAGUGCAAAACUUCAGGGAGAGAGCCCUCCUCAAGCCUGAAAACUUGUUUUUCUUAUCAGAAAAAAACCAUGACAAGGGGAGAAAGGAGGACCCACAGGAUAUCUGGUAUGAAAAUACUCCUUCAUAAGUAACUAGUAGGUUGGAAUUGUGACAGAAGGGAGAUCCCAGCAUGUGUGUGUAUGGACUGCUUAUACCUUUGAGAGCAGAAAUUUAAUGACUAUUCACUGAAGGCAACUCAAACUUGGGAAAUAAUAACAUUGCAAUUUUGAGAUUCAUAUUUUAUUUACAAGCAAAUGAAGAAUAUUCCCUGUAACCAUUAAUUUGGGGGGAGAAGAGCAAUAUAAAGAAGUUGCUGGCUCCACAGUGACGUGUGAAAGGAGUCCAUGCCACUGUUUCUUUAAAUGAUUUUGUUAUUAAAAAAACCGAAACAAAACGCACAAUUUCUUCAUGUUGCAUAUGUGAAAGAAUUCCAAAUAAAAAUGACUUUUCAAAGCUC